RNAcentral lists this non-coding RNA (142 nucleotides) under Streptomyces cyaneogriseus. RNAcentral's name for it is "SAM-I sequence". It matches the Rfam family "SAM riboswitch aptamer (S box leader)". From Rfam's summary of the family: The SAM riboswitch is found upstream of a number of genes which code for proteins involved in methionine or cysteine biosynthesis in Gram-positive bacteria. Lineage: Bacteria; Bacillati; Actinomycetota; Actinomycetes; Kitasatosporales; Streptomycetaceae. The record is from RNAcentral. RNAcentral also lists the same sequence under 1 other name.
AGCUCAUCCAGAGGGGCAGAGGGACACGGCCCGAUGAAGCCCCGGCAACCCUCCAGUCGGUUCUCGUUCAGGAGCGAGGCUCCCGGCUAGGGAAGGUGCCAAAUCCGUCUCGCGGCGAGGUGCGCUGCGAGGAAGAUGAGGA